UCAGACGAUGCGUCAUGCAUAUCAAUAAGCGGAGGAAAAGAAACUAACAAGGAUUCCCCUAGUAACGGCGAGUGAAGCGGGAAGGGCUUAAAUUUGAAAUCUUAAAGGGUUUCCCUUUACGAAUUGUAGUUUAAAGAAGUGUUUUCUGUUGAGGUUUUGGUAAAAGUUCUUUGGAAUAGGACAUCAUAGAGGGUGAGAAUCCCGUAUUUGACCUUUACUUUCAACUUUGUGAUACACUUUCAAAGAGUCGGAUUGUUUGGGAAUGCAGUCCAAAAUGGGUGGUAAAUUUCAUCUAAAGCUAAAUAUUGGCGAGGAGACCGAUAGCGAACAAGUACCGUGAGGGAAAGAUGAAAAGAACUUUGAAAAGAGAGUUAAACAGUACGUGAAAUUGUCAAAAGGGAAGCGUUUGACACCAGUGUUGUUUUUCUGAAAAUCAAUUAAAGAACUGUUUAUGCUAAGCUGUUUAGACUUUAUCAGCUAUCUGUCUAGUUUUGAGCUUUUCUUUAAUGCACUUUUCAGUUAACAAGUCAACAUCAAUUUCUUUUGCUGUAAAAAAGCUUGAGGAGGGUGGCUUGAGAUUCGUCUUAAGUGUUUAUAGCCUCUUGCCUAUGCAGUCGGAGAGAUUGAGGUCUGCAGCGUAGAUCCUUCGGGGCUAAAUGCAUUUGUGCUAAGUUAUAGCAUUUUAUAGACAACUUGUUGACUAUGAUUUGUCUUGUAGCUUACUCGCUUAUGUUAUUUUACCUACGCUUAGGAUGUUGAGCGCAUGUCUCUCUCU
Molecule: ribosomal RNA, 775 nt
Filed under: uncultured Neocallimastigales
Lineage: Eukaryota; Fungi; Neocallimastigomycota; Neocallimastigomycetes; Neocallimastigales
Description: partial large subunit ribosomal RNA
Rfam family: Eukaryotic large subunit ribosomal RNA
Source: RNAcentral